RNAcentral lists this ribosomal RNA (508 nucleotides) under uncultured bacterium. Its description in RNAcentral is "partial 16S ribosomal RNA". It matches the Rfam family "Bacterial small subunit ribosomal RNA", at positions 28 to 523 of the family's 1533-position model. The record is from RNAcentral.
GAUGAACGCUAGCUACAGGCUUAACACAUGCAAGUCGAGGGGAAACGAUAUUGGAAGCUUGCUUCCGAUAGGCGUCGACCGGCGCACGGGUGAGUAACGCGUAUCCAACCUGCCCAUCACUUGGGGAUAACCUUGCGAAAGUAAGACUAAUACCCAAUGACGUCUCUAGAAGACAUCUUAAAGAGAUUAAAGAUUUAUCGGUGAUGGAUGGGGAUGCGUGUGAUUAGCUUGUUGGCGGGGUAACGGCCCACCCAGGCGACGAUCAGUAGGGGUUCUGAGAGGAAGGUCCCCCACAUUGGAACUGAGACACGGUCCAAACUCGUACGGGAGGCAGCAGUGAGGAAGAUUGGUCAAUGGACGAGAGUCUGAACCAGCCAAGUAGCGUGCAGGAUGACGGCCCUAUGGGUUGUAAACUGCUUUUAUAAGGGAAUAAAGUGAGAGUCGUGACUCUUUUUGCAUGUACCUUAUGAAUAAGGACCGGCUAAUUCCGUGCCAGCAGCCGCAGUAA